UACGGAGGGUGCGAGCGUUACCCGGAUUUACUGGGUGUAAAGGGCGUGUAGGCGGUCUCUCAAGUCCGAUGCUAAAGACCGAAGCUCAACUUCGGGGGUGCGUUGGAUACUGUGAGGCUAGACGGUCGGAGAGGGUAGCGGAAUUUCCGGAGUAGCGGUGAAAUGCGCAGAUACCGGAAGGAACGCCAAUAGCGAAGGCAGCUACCUGGACGAUUUGUGACGCUGAGGCGCGAAAGCAUGGGUAGCGAACGGG
Molecule: ribosomal RNA, 253 nt
Filed under: uncultured bacterium
Lineage: Bacteria
Description: partial 16S ribosomal RNA
Rfam family: Bacterial small subunit ribosomal RNA
Source: RNAcentral